Molecule: long non-coding RNA, 1274 nt
Organism: Prosopis cineraria
Lineage: Eukaryota; Viridiplantae; Streptophyta; Magnoliopsida; Fabales; Fabaceae
Exons: 2
Source: RefSeq, a predicted model, not a curated record
CAUCCGUUUAGUAUGCAGUCCCCCCAAUUUUCAAAUUUCGUUUCAAUCGAGUGCAAUGUAAUUUGCUAAUUGCCCGGGAGCAUUAAUUGCAUCCGCAUUUGCAUGCCCCUUGCUUCUUUGUAUUCCUCAUUUCUCCACGUUCUAUCAUUAUUUCCAUCAUUCGUAUUCAAAUUUCAAAAUAAUAUCAUCAGAUCUAUUCUAUUGUUUGACUCUCUCAAUCAAUUCCUCCUCAAAAUGGGAUUCUUUCCCCCUGUUUUCUCUCUGUCUUGCCUCAAUAGAUUCAGAUCUUCAAUCUUCAAAAGGAGAGGCACCGGAUUCCAGGGCGUCAUAGAAUGCGUCGGUGUUGAUGAUGACAGCGGCGAGGCAAUGAGACUACGAGAGCGAGCCAAAGUAGUGGCAGAGAGAAGAGAGGGAGCAGACGACGAUGAGGAAGCUGAUCGUUUCGAUCUUGAUGGUGUCGAGUAGGUUAGAGAGCAAGAUCGAAGGAAGAAGGUGGCAUGUGACUUGUGCAUCAAUUGGGCAAUUGAGGUCAAUAGCUAAGCAUUUGCAUGUGAUUUAUGAUAUUUUUGGGGGAUUAAAUCAGCUUGAAAUAUGAAUGACACGUGAAAAAUUAGGCACACAUUGAAAUUAUUUACAAACCAAUAGAAGGGUGCCACCUUGCAAGUGUGACAAGGCUCCUAUUUUCUUUUUAUUUUUUUUAAUUUUUUAAUUGAGUAUUCAGCUGAAGGGAAACACUAGAUGCAUGUCUAUUCAGCCCCAAAUUGAGAUUAUUCACCCAUUCACUCAUCUUUUACAUUUUCUCUCUCUUGUUUAUCUUGUUCUUCAUUAUUCUCUUCCUUCUCUCUAUACAUACAGCCACAUCCAAGUACCUUUUCUUCUACUUUUCACCAUCAAAUCCACUCAAUUCUUUCACCAUUCUCUUUUUCUCUCAUGGCCAACCCUAACCCUUGCAACUAGAAGGAGAUUUGAAGCUCAAUUCAUCAAGAUUCAUGGAGCAUGUAUCGGCCUCUUGGUGUUCUUGGAGGAGCAAGGAUUUUUUGAUGUUUUCUAGCUAGAUUCUCCAUGGAAUCCUAAGGGAGAAUUGAUGGAAGAGGAGUUUUGAAGUCUUCACUUGGCUAAGCUCAACUAUUUCUUCAUCUUGUUUCAAUUUCAUUAGAGUAUUAUGAAUAUAGUUGAUUGUAGUUCAAUUUGACUUUACUUUCAUGGUUGUUUAUAAUUUGUAAUGUUAAAACAAGAUUUUUGAGUUGAAUUUCAUGACUUAAGUGCUGCUGGAA